RNAcentral lists this ribosomal RNA (468 nucleotides) under uncultured bacterium. Its description in RNAcentral is "partial 16S ribosomal RNA". It matches the Rfam family "Bacterial small subunit ribosomal RNA", at positions 28 to 507 of the family's 1533-position model. The record is from RNAcentral.
GACGAACGCUGGCGGCGUGCUUAACACAUGCCAGUCGAACGGCAAGGCCCUGCUUUUGUGGGGUGCUCGAGUGGCGAACGGGUGAGUAACACGUGAGUAACCUGCCCUAGUCUUUGGGAUAACUUCAGGAAACGGGGGCUAAUACCGGAUAGCAGCCCCUGUUGCAUGGAGGGGGUUGGAACGUUUCGGCGGUAGGGGAUGGACUCGCGGCUUACCAGCUUGCUGGUGGGGUAGUGGCUUACCCAGUCUUUGACGGGUAGCCGGCCUGGGAGGGGGACCGGCCACAUUGGUACUGAGGGACGGCCCAGUCUCCUACGGGAGGCAGCGGUGGGGAAUAUUGCACAAUGGGCGGGAGCCUGAUGCAGCAACGCCGCGUGCGGAAUGACGGCCUUCGGGUUGUAAACCGCUUUCGCCUGUGACGAAGCGUGAGUGACGGUAAUGGGUAAAGAAGCACCGGCUAACUACGUG